Molecule: long non-coding RNA, 697 nt
Filed under: Carica papaya (papaya)
Lineage: Eukaryota; Viridiplantae; Streptophyta; Magnoliopsida; Brassicales; Caricaceae
Description: long non-coding RNA (CPAP_LNC011407)
Source: RNAcentral
AUUACUUUAGUAUUCAUGUUUAUGUGAGAAAUGAAAAACUAAGAAAAAAUAAGAAAGGGGUGUGAAUUGAUAAAUGGAUAAGUUGACAGCCUCAUUAGAUAUCUUGGGAGAUGGUGGACAGACCGGGUCCAUAGAGAAGCCUACCAGGAAUGUUGUCUCAUACCGGACGGGGUAUUGAGACUUUAAAUAUUUUAGUACUCAUACCGGACGGGGUAUGGGGACGGCCUGUUUCACCCUCAUACCGGACGGGGUAUUGAGGUUUAUUGUUUGACGCCCAUACAGGACGGGGUAUGGGAUGGUCCCGAAAAUUAAGUUUGUUAAGGAAAUGGUUCACGUGUAGCGGGGACCCUUAUGGAUCCCCAUGGAUACUAGUAGGCUGAUAAAAAAGGGGCAACUGUUGUUUGAUGAUUGAAAUAUAAAAGUAUGACAUGUGUUAUGUUACAGAUUAUGUAUGAAUUCAUGAUAUCUAUGAUGUUGUUGUUUUCAUGGGUUAUUUUUAUAAAUCUCACUGAGGUAAGUGGACAGUUAAUAGUUUGAUUAUUGAUAAAUAAAUUUAUUCAGAAUUUGUGCUCCGUUGGUUUUUUAUGGUUUUUUACCAAUCUUUACUUAUGUGACAAUGAUAUAGUAUGAUGCCUUUACUGGGCUAGUAGAUGCCUAGAUGUUUAUUAGUUUCCUUAUAGCCUUUCAUUUCUAAUAU